Myotis davidii is the source of this 68-nucleotide non-coding RNA. NCBI's taxonomy places the organism in Eukaryota, Metazoa, Chordata, Mammalia, Chiroptera, Vespertilionidae. The record is from Rfam.
GGCAGUUCUUGGGUUACGCACCCUGGAAUCGGGCUCCCUCCUCUCAGGUGGGUCACCUGAGAACUGUC